GUGUGUGAAUUGGAUUAUGGCAAGCCUAUCCUAGGCCUCUCAUAAUGUCAGAUGCCAAAGCAAACCAUGACCUUAGUCCAUUGCCUAGCCUCUGUCCAUAGGCUGCUAACACUGGUGUGAAUUACGCAGUG
RNAcentral lists this small nucleolar RNA (131 nucleotides) under Peromyscus maniculatus bairdii (prairie deer mouse). RNAcentral describes it as "Small nucleolar RNA SNORA42/SNORA80 family (ENSPEMG00000027914.1)". The record is from RNAcentral. Lineage: Eukaryota; Metazoa; Chordata; Mammalia; Rodentia; Cricetidae.